Molecule: ribosomal RNA, 459 nt
Filed under: uncultured bacterium
Lineage: Bacteria
Description: partial 16S ribosomal RNA
Rfam family: Bacterial small subunit ribosomal RNA
Source: RNAcentral
CCUACGGGGAGCAGCAGUGAGGAAUAUUGGUCAAUGGUCGGGAGACUGAACCAGCCAAGCCGCGUGAGGGAGGAAGGUACAGAGUAUCGUAAACCUCUUUUGUCAGGGAACAAAGGCGGGGACAUGUCCCCGGCUGAGUGUACCUGAAGAAAAAGCAUCGGCUAACUCCGUGCCAGCAGCCGCGGUAAUACGGAGGAUGCGAGCGUUAUCCGGAUUUAUUGGGUUAAAAGGGUGCGCAGGCGGUCUGUUAAGUCAGCGGUCAAAGCCCGGGGCUCAACCCCGGCCCGCCGUUGAAACUGGCAGUCUCGAGUGGGAGAGAAGUAGGCGGAAUGCGCGGUGUAGCGGUGAAAUGCAUAGAUAUCGCGCAGAACUCCGAUUGCGAAGGCAGCAUGCCGGCUCCACACUGACGCUGAGGCACGAAAGCGUGGGUAUCGAACAGGAUUAGAUACCCCUGUAGUC